Long non-coding RNA from Myiozetetes cayanensis, 3673 nucleotides. RefSeq lists it as uncharacterized. The record is from RefSeq and is a predicted model, not a curated record. The transcript is spliced from 2 exons. NCBI's taxonomy places the organism in Eukaryota, Metazoa, Chordata, Aves, Passeriformes, Tyrannidae.
CGGGGUCGGGCUUACCGGCACAGGAGUGCAGCGGCUUGGGCCGGACCAGCAGCGACGGGCACACGGAGUAGAGCGAAAGUUUCUCGAAGUAGUCGCAGGUCUCCUUGGAGAGGAUCUCGUCGAUCAUGAAGGAGACAAAAUAAUUACCAGCAACAUUACCUUCAGCAAUUAGUGCUUCCUGCAAAGGAUAUUUCGGGAGCAACAUCCUGAGCAAGCCAGUGAUUUACCCCCCGGAGCAGCAGCAAAGCUUCCCUCGGUGUCCGGGCAGGAGCUGCAGCCCCUCCACCCCUCCCCAAAUCCCUCCUGCAUUCACCGCCUGUGCAAAACCCCAGAGCACGGGAAUGUUUCCUAAACCGAGAGCACAACACUGCGAAUCCAAGAGUACUCCAAGAUCCUGACUGGAUCAGAAACCAAGAGGCGAAGCAAAGCGUGGGCUCGCUGAACUCACACACAGCCUGAUCCCGGGACAAGAGUUCUCUGCUCGUCCUUAAACAUUUCCUUCUCCCACCUGAAGAGCUGAAUAUCCCGAGGAGAGGGGCUGGCACCUCUGCCCGUGCCCUGGGAACGCAGUGCCCUCACCUGAGCCCAGGGGGAUGGACUGGCACGUGGGGUCAGCGCAAAACUUGAUUUCUUUCUAUUUAUGAUUUUUUAAAAAAGCAAGCGGCCAGAGCAACACGCGGGUUACGCCGUCUGAAACACACGCUGGCUGUCAAUCAAAAAGGGGGUGCUUUGGUGGGGAAUAAUCAGGGGUUUUGUUUCCAAAAUUAAUGAAGUGGCUGGAGUAGCGAACAUCUGCCAGGGGGACUCAAACCCCGAGCAGCUGUUGGAGCCCCCAGGCCCCUUCCCACGCAGGACAGCCCUGCUGGAAGUGCCUGUCCCGGAGGUGUCUCUCGGGCCGGGAAUGGGGCCGGCCGGCAGGCUGGGGAGGGAAAGGCACCUCGGGGAGGUUUGAGGGCAGAGCCCUGACGAAAUUUGGGUGUGUGAGCCCGGAAUCCGCACAGUGUGGAAGUGGGGGGACAGCAGGGACAAGGAUUGCUGCCUUUCCCACCAGGGAAUUAACUCAAGGGGCAGGAAAGGCACGGCAGGAGACGUUCUGAACUGGGGGCUUCUGCACACAACUUGAUUUAAUUCUGCGACAAUUGGUGCUCCCAGACCCUUUGUGAGCAGCACUGGAGCCAGUGCAGGGCACCCUGGAAAAAUUAUUGAGCACCUUAGGGCUGUCCUGUUUAGUCCCAGCACAAACAGUAUCAUCAGACAGUGAUUAAGGCACAUGGGAAUUAAGGUGCUGCUGUAUUACUGAAGUUGUUAUUGAGGUAGUACCCAAGUACCUGCUUCUGCUCAGGGCAGAGUUAGCUGGUUGUGAUUUCUUGCUUCUGUAUUUAUACGUUGCCAAGUACCCUGGGAUCGCUUCCCCAAGGAAAGGAAUUCUGUGUAGUGGGUUUUCAGCUCGCUGGUUUUCCACAUUCAAACAAGAGUUUAAAAUGCAAACCCUUUUUGACAGAAUGGGCAGGACAAGCUGAAGUGCCAAAGCCUUAAAGUGCACUGGCUCUUGUUCUGAAUUCCCUUUUCCAUAUCAAAAGGGCAAAGAUACCUCUCCAAGCCCCUGACAUUACCAGGUUUAAUCACUAGAAAAGUCCCUUUUCCAGUGAAAUCCAACCACCUUUGAAAACAGAUAUGUACAGACAUAACCAAUCCUGCUAAACACUGCACUCUGAUCUCCAGUGUCUGCCUUUUUCAGCGUGAUAUUGGGCUGGAUACUUGAUCCAGAAUAGAAAAAUCCAGUGUGUGGCCAGAAGGAGGGAAGGCAGAGUUUGGGCCAGCGUUUCACUCCAGGGGAUCCAGAGGCUUUGUCCUCUCGGUGUGAAAGGUCUCGGUGCAUAAAAAUCCCUUUGAGUAAAAGAUCUCAGCAUCUGCCUCACAUAAAUAAAAGUGAAUUUGUAGUAUCUGCCCCAUGCCAGAGGAAAGGGCAUUGCCCAGGAAGGCUCUUUUGAAGCCUGGAAGAGCGUAAAACAUCCCACACAGAGGGUAAACCCACUUUAUGUGUGGCUAAUGAGCCCCUUGGUCCUCUCUGUUCCCCUGACAGCAAUGCUUUCUCAGAGAGAGACACCUCUGAGCAGGGUCUCCUCCCCAUCUCCUGGAAAGCCUCUGGAAAAGCAGGAUCCCAGCACAGGAUGGAGGGGAAAGUUUAGUGUUUCUUGACCCUGAACUUUACCUUUGCAGAUGGCAAGAUGAUACCUCGGGGCACCCCAGUGUGUGAGGAAACAGAAACCCCAGAGCAGAGCAGUAACUGCACAUACUCACACACACCACCCCUUCAGUCAUGGUCAGAAUAAACCAAGGUGCCAAAUUAUUCUGAAAGCUGAACUAUCAACUGGGACACCUUUGUUUUAUUUCCUCUUCUGCCCCAAGCCUUAAAUCUAAUCUGCUUUGCUUAGAGCCAACUUUGAAUUAUCUAGAAAUAGAGUAUAAUGGUAUUUAUAAUGUGAAUGAUCCACUGGCCAGUCCCCAAAUUAAUUAAGAUGCUCUGCUUUAAAGUAAUAGUACAGCUAAUAACCAUUUUUAUUAGUGCUGAAAACACACAAGCCAUCAAGUUCAUCCCACAGGCUGUGAAGUUCCUCAGAAGGAGAUCUAGAUGUGGCUUCAGAUUUACAUGGAGAGAAACUGAGGCAAAGGCCUCACUCACCAUCACAUCUUUCCAGGCAGGGUAUAAUCUAAAUCCCAGCAUUUUCCCCUGUGACUUUAUUUCCCCCCCCAGCAGCACUGGGGGCUGUGACACAGUGCCUUGAUCAUUUCCAGUAACCCCUCAGCAGGGAUUUGUUUUUCCAGGCUAUGGCUGGCAGGAUCUGGGCUCAUAAGCCAGGAAUAAGGAGUUUGGGAGUGGCAGCCAGGAAGGCAAAGAGCAUUUUGUGUCACCCUGAGCAGGAAAACACACGGGUGGCUCUCGCUGUGGAGCAGAGAUUGUACCAGUCAUGGCCAGGCUGUUGCUGAGGAGGAAAGAAAAAAUCCUGGAGAACAUCCCAGAAGGCAACUGUUUCUGCUCCUGUCCCAGUCACACCACCUGAGGGGCCAGUUUGGGCAAGACAGAAGCACCUGGUCCCCUACUAUUCCUCCCCAGUAUCCGUGGGACAAUAAAUUGUGUUUUCCCCAUGCACCCAUUUCUCCAGUGAAUUCCACACUGCUGUGACAACCCAACCCCAAGGGCAAGGAAGCACCAAACCAUCCCCAUCCUCAUCCACCCCACAGCGCUGACAUCCCCAGGGUGCCAAUGAAAACAGAGACAACUAUUUUAAUAUGGCCAAGGUAACAAAAAUCUCAUUUAACCCACUUUCCUGGAGGGCCUGGAGCCAAUGGUGAGGGGAAGUGUCUGAUCUCAUGAGAAAAAGUGUUUGGAACUGGAACAUCUUUCAAAAAGAACCCCCAAUUAUUGGCAGGGAAGGCUUCCCAAAUCUACCACUGCCUCACUCUUUAAUCCCCGCUCCAGCCUCAUUUGGAUGAGGAUCCACAUGUGAAUGCUCACUGCUCCAUCCAGCUUUGCCUAAGGCCAAUUAUUUUUUGCACAAGUCUUGCUAAAUCUCUGCCAAGCUGGAUGGUAGCGUGUUAAAAAGGAAAAAAAAAUCAAAAAAUAUUUCCAACGCCUUCAAUAAAACAGUCAGGAUGUUUUGGUGUUCUGUGA